This is a long non-coding RNA of Neofelis nebulosa (Clouded leopard), 1759 nucleotides long. RefSeq lists it as uncharacterized. Lineage: Eukaryota; Metazoa; Chordata; Mammalia; Carnivora; Felidae. The record is from RefSeq and is a predicted model, not a curated record. The transcript has 2 exons.
GGGGGGUUCCAAAGGGAGCGUGCGUGCACCAGGGCGUCACCUCUGGUGGCUGUCAUUACAACAGAGCUGGCAGCUUGGUCCGGAGACAGGAAAAGAAGAGGUGGCCCUUAUGGGAAGGGAGCACGGCGUCUCUCUCGGAUGCCGCCAAGGAGCACAGGGGGGCGAGUACCAGCGUGGGCUGCAGCCAAAGUCAGGGAAAGGCGACAAAUCAUUCAGCAGGGAAAAAACAAUGAGCGUAAAGGACACAGAAGGACUAAAACGCAGAUCCCUGACACUGUGCGUGGGCUGAAUCCUCUGCUAAAGAAGCCCAGGCUUGAAGACGAGCCAAGAGCGCCUAUUCCCAGGAGCCCAGGGCUCCGCUCGCGGUUCAGGAGUGGAACUGAGGACCACGGGCAUUAAAUGGGAAAGAAAGGCAUGUUGAGGAUAUGGAACAGGUUAUGAGUAAGGUGAAAUAGUGAGUCUGCGUUAUGCAUCAAUCAACCUGGCAGCUAAUGAGGUAAAGCCCAGUUAUUUAAACACGCAAGAUUCCAGUAGGAACUCAACGUGUCGUUUUCAGGAUCAGACCUGUCUAGUAGGGAAGUCGGCGUUGGUCGGGUUUUAGGGACACGGGAUCCAGCAAACUCAGGUUGAGCAGGGCGUAGAGACGUCUCUUGCUUCAAAAGGAGAUCACACGCUAGAGGACAGUUGGCUGUUUUUAAGUCCUAUUAAGCCCUAUUUAGAAUAGGUUAGGGGAUAAAUAAAAACACCGUCCGACGCUAACAUUUUGUUCCUUACCGUUCCCAUCUUUCCGUUAAAAGCUGCCUUUUCAGAGCAUCACGAUAGGUCUUAACGGUGUCGCUUUAGCCCGAAACAUGGCGUUUUCCCGGCCUUGGUUAGUUCUUAAGAACAAAUUUUAAAAAUCAAAGAAAUAAAUAACAAAUGUGCUGUUUUGUAAAAAAAAAAAAAGAAAAGAGAGAGAGAAGGAGAUUACACAUUCUUUCCAAGAUCCAUUGAGCGUUUUCUCAAAGAAAACCUUGAGAAAAAUUUAAAAGGUUGAGAUUAUCUCUGGCCAUAGUCUAGGAAAAUGAGAAAUAAUUAAGGAAAUUGUGACAGCUUCCUCCCUGCCUCCCCCCAGGAAAAACCCCUUUACCAUUUGGAAAGUAAGACACACGCCCUUAAAUCACACGUCGUAGAGAAUGGAUUUAGCUGCAUGGCAGAGAACCAACAGAAGGGUGGAUUCACACAAAGUUCGUUUCCAACACGCAAGUCUGGGCUCAGCGGUGGUAUGAGACCCCGGGCUCCAUCCACUCGCCGCUCCACGAUCCUGGGGCGAGGGCUCCCCACCUUGCCCCUGUGGCUUCUGAUCUCAUUGCCCACUUCUGCUGUUUGCCCCCAUCGCUAUCAUGUCUCAUUGGCCAGCACUCAGUCACAUGGUUAUGCCUGGCUCAAAGAAUCCUGGGAGCUGUAGUUUUUAUCUUGGGUGGGAGUGUGCUCCGUUAAAAGGGAAGGUUCCAUUCCCAAAACAAAAGGGGAGAAUGGGUUUUGGAAGACAGCUAGACUGUCUGCACUACAUCCUUGGAGUAAACCAUGGGGCGCCUGAGUGGCUCGGUCGGUUGAGCCUCUGACUCUUGAUUUCGGCUCAGGUCAUGAUCUCAGGGUUCAUGAGUUCGAGCCCUGCCUGCGUCCGGCUCUGUGCUGACAGCAUGGAGCCUGCUUGGGAUUCUCUCCCCUCUAUGCCCCUCCCUCAUUCACUCUCUCUCUCUCUCUCUCUCUUUCUCUC